ACAGUCAGGUAACGAGCGAGACCCACGCCAACAGUUGCCAGCUCGUCCUCCGGGAUGGUGGGGACGCUGUUGGGACCGCCUCUGCUAAAGAGGAGGAAGGAAUGGGCAACGGUAGGUCAGCAUGCCCCGAAUUAUCUGGGCUACACGCGGGCUACAAUGGGUGGGACAAUGGGUAUCGACACCGAAAGGUGAAGGCAAUCUCCUAAACCCAUCCUUAGUUCGGAUUGCGGGUUGCAACUCACCACAUGAAGCUGGAAUCCGUAGUAAUCGUGUCUCAAAAUGGCACGGUGAAUAAGUCCCUGCUCCUUGCACGAAUUCGCCG
RNAcentral lists this ribosomal RNA (322 nucleotides) under uncultured Methanomicrobiales archaeon. RNAcentral describes it as "bacterial SSU rRNA". It matches the Rfam family "Archaeal small subunit ribosomal RNA", at positions 1030 to 1352 of the family's 1478-position model. Lineage: Archaea; Methanobacteriati; Methanobacteriota; Methanomicrobia; Methanomicrobiales. The record is from RNAcentral.